UCCCCGCACCAGUGAGAAUGCCCUUAACAUCAACCCAGAUCAAGAGGAGCAGACAUUAAGUACACUUCCCAGUAGCUCAAAAUGUCUUGCUCAACCACACCCCCAAGGGAUACAGCAGUGAUAAAAAUUUAGCAAUGAACGUAAGUUUGACUAAGUUAUACUACUUCAGGGUUGGUAAAUCUCGUGCCAGCCACCGCGGUCAUACGAUUAACCCAAAUUAAUAAACACCCGGCGUAAAGCGUGAUUUAAAAUCAAAUAACAACUAAGCUGUAAAAAGUAAUAGUUGUAAACAAAAAUAAACUACGAAAGUGAUUUUAUAACAUUCGAACUCACGAUAGCUAAGACCCAAACUGGGAUUAGAUACCCCACUAUGCUUAGCCCUAAACCUAAAUAAUUUAUAACAAAAUUGUUCGCCAGAGAACUACAAGCCAGAGCUUAAAACUCAAAGGACUUGGCGGUGCUUUACACCCACCUAGAGGAGCCUGUUCUAUAAUCGAUAAACCCCGAUAAACCUUACCACUCUUUGCCAAUUCAGCCUAUAUACCGCCAUCUUCAGCGAACCCUAAAAAGGAACAAAAGUAAGCUUAAUUAUUCUCAUAAAAACGUUAGGUCAAGGUGUAGCCUAUAGAGUGGAAAGUAAUGGGCUACAUUUUCUAUAUUAGAACAUACGAAAGCCCUUAUGAAAUCUUAGGGCCAAAGGAGGAUUU
RNAcentral lists this ribosomal RNA (707 nucleotides) under Romerolagus diazi (volcano rabbit). RNAcentral describes it as "partial 12S ribosomal RNA". It matches the Rfam family "Bacterial small subunit ribosomal RNA", at positions 302 to 1333 of the family's 1533-position model. Lineage: Eukaryota; Metazoa; Chordata; Mammalia; Lagomorpha; Leporidae. The record is from RNAcentral.